CUUACGCAUGCAAGUCGAGCGAUGAGCUCCCUUCGGGGAGUACAUCAGCGGCAGACGGGUGAGUAACACGUAGAUAACCUGCCCUCAAGACGGGGACAACCGGUGGAAACAGCGGCUAAUACCCGAUAUGCUCACAGGAUCGGGAGAUCGAGUGAGGAAAGCGCCCCUUCGGGGGAGAGUGUUCGAGGAGGGAUCUGCGGCCCAUCAGCUAGUUGGUGAGGUAACGGCUCACCAAGGCGAAGACGGGUAGGGGGUGUGAGAGCAUGGCCCCCCACAAUGGGACUGAGACACGGCCCAUACUCCUACGGGAGGCAGCAGCGGGGAAUAUUGCGCAAUGGACGGAAGUCAGACGCAGCGACGCCGCGUGGGUGAGGAAGGCCUUCGGGUUGUAAAGCCCUUUUCAGGGGAGCGAGAAAGGACGGUACCCUUGGAAUAAGCGUCGGCUAACUACGUGCCAGCAGCCGCGGUAAGACGUAGGACGCAAGCGUUAUCCGGAUUUACUGGGCGUAAAGCGCCUGUAGGCGGUCAAGUAAGUCGGAUGUGAAAGCCCCGUGCUCAACGCGGGGAAGCCAUUCGAUACUGCGUGACUAGAGAACGGCAGAGGGAAACGGAAUUUCUGGUGUAGCGGUAAAAUGCGCAGAGAUCAGAAAGAACACCGAUGGCGAAGGCAGUUUCCUAGGCCGCAUCUGACGCUGAGAGGCGAAAGCUAGGGGAGCAAACAGGAUUAGAGACCCUGGUAGUCCUAGCUGUAAACGAUGGAUGCU
Molecule: ribosomal RNA, 764 nt
Filed under: uncultured organism
Description: bacterial SSU rRNA
Rfam family: Bacterial small subunit ribosomal RNA
Source: RNAcentral